This is a non-coding RNA of Stegodyphus mimosarum, 73 nucleotides long. The record is from Rfam. NCBI's taxonomy places the organism in Eukaryota, Metazoa, Arthropoda, Arachnida, Araneae, Eresidae.
GCCUUUGUGGUGCAUUGGUCAGCACACUUGGCACGUAUUCGAGAGGUCCAAGGUUCGAGUCCCGGCGAGGGCA